This 253-nucleotide ribosomal RNA is filed under the name uncultured bacterium. RNAcentral describes it as "partial 16S ribosomal RNA". It matches the Rfam family "Bacterial small subunit ribosomal RNA", at positions 524 to 776 of the family's 1533-position model. The record is from RNAcentral.
UACGUAGGGGGCAAGCGUUAUCCGGAUUUGCUGGGUGUAAAGGGAGCGUAGACGGUCCUGCAAGCCAGAUGUGAAAGCCCGGGGCUCAACCCCGGGACUGCAUUUGGAACUGUAAGGCUAGAGUGUCGGAGAGGCAGGCGGAAUUCCUAGUGUAGCGGUGAAAUGCGUAGAUAUUAGGAGGAACACCAGUGGCGAAGGCGGCCUGCUGGACGAUGACUGACGUUGAGGCUCGAAAGCGUGGGGAGCAAACAGG